This 519-nucleotide ribosomal RNA is filed under the name uncultured bacterium. RNAcentral's name for it is "bacterial SSU rRNA". It matches the Rfam family "Bacterial small subunit ribosomal RNA", at positions 791 to 1312 of the family's 1533-position model. The record is from RNAcentral.
UAGUCCACGCCGUAAACGAUGGACACUAGUUGUCGGGAGGCUUGACUUCUCGGUGACGUAGCUAACGUGUUAAGUGUCCCGCCUGGGGAGUACGUCCGCAAGGAUGAAACCCAAAGGAAUUGACGGGGGCCCGCACAAGCGGUGGAGCAUGUGGUUUAAUUCGAUGAUACGCGAGGAACCUUACCAGGGCUUAAAAUGCAGAAUGACAGGUUUAGAGAUAGACUUUUCUUCGGACAUUUUGCAAGGUGCUGCAUGGUUGUCGUCAGCUCGUGCCGUGAGGUGUCAGGUUAAGUCCUAUAACGAGCGCAACCCCUGCCGUCAGUUGCCAGCAAGUAAUGUUGGGGACUCUGACGGGACUGCCGGUGCAAACCGCGAGGAGGGUGGGGACGACGUCAAAUCGAUCACGGCCCUUACGUCCUGGGCUACACACGUGCUACAAUGGCCGGUACAGCGAGCAGCCACUUCGCAAGAAGGAGCGAAUCUAUAAAACCGGUCACAGUUCGAUCGGGGUCUGCAACG